RNAcentral lists this ribosomal RNA (314 nucleotides) under uncultured eukaryote. RNAcentral describes it as "partial 18S ribosomal RNA". It matches the Rfam family "Eukaryotic small subunit ribosomal RNA", at positions 1470 to 1796 of the family's 1831-position model. The record is from RNAcentral.
CCCCUAGAUGUUCUGGGCCGCACGCGCGCUACACUGAACAGUUCAACAAGUCUUAACCUUGGCCGAUAGGUCUGGGUAAUCUUUGAACGCUGUUCGUGAUUGGGAUAGACCUUUGCAAUUAUGGGUCUUCAACGAGGAAUUCCUAGUAAACGCAAGUCAUCAGCUUGCAUUGAUUACGUCCCUGCCCUUUGUACACACCGCCCGUCGCACCUACCGAUUGAAUGGUCCGGUGAAGCCUCCGGAUUGGCGCGCACCUCGGUGCCGCCGAGAAGUUGGCUAAACCUUACCAUUUAGAGGAAGGUGAAGUCGUAACA